RNAcentral lists this unclassified non-coding RNA (397 nucleotides) under Hevea brasiliensis (rubber tree). The record is from RNAcentral. Lineage: Eukaryota; Viridiplantae; Streptophyta; Magnoliopsida; Malpighiales; Euphorbiaceae.
GUUGGAUUUUGAUCAGUAUACGAUUUGUUGUAGUGAAGAUCGUGAUUGAAAAUGGCUUCUGCCGGAACGUUACCGUCGCACCUUUCGGGGUUGAAAGGCGGAAAUGUGAACUUGGGAUUUUCGAAGCGGUUGGAAUCAGUAAAAGUCUUCGAUUUGAAGAGCGUUAGGUCUCACGGAAGAAAGGUCUUGGUUAUACGGAAUUCAAAUCCUGGCUCUGAUAUUGCGGAGCUUCAGCCUGCUUCGGAAGGGAGUUCUCUUCUGGUUCCUCGACAGAAGUACUGUGAAUCCAUAAACAAAACAAUCAGGAGGAAAACACGGACAGUGAUGGUUGGAAAUGUUGCCCUUGGUAGUGAGCAUCCCAUAAGGAUUCAAACAAUGACAACAACUGACACAAAAG